UACAGAGGGUGCAAGCGUUAAUCGGAAUUACUGGGCGUAAAGCGUGCGUAGACGGUUACAUAAGUCGGGUGUGAAAGCCCCGGGCUCAACCUGGGAAUUGCAUUCGAGACUGCGUAGCUAGGGUGCGGAAGAGGGAAGCGGAAUUUCCGGUGUAGCGGUGAAAUGCGUAGAUAUCGGAAGGAACGCCGGUGGCGAAAGCGGCGUGCUGGACCGCUUCUGACGCUGAGGCGCGAAAGCCAGGGGAGCAAACGGG
RNAcentral lists this ribosomal RNA (253 nucleotides) under uncultured bacterium. Its description in RNAcentral is "partial 16S ribosomal RNA". It matches the Rfam family "Bacterial small subunit ribosomal RNA", at positions 524 to 776 of the family's 1533-position model. The record is from RNAcentral.